GAUUUUACACUAUCUUUGUUUGCAGAGACAUGCCUAUAGCUCGCUUUUGGGAUGACUCAGUAAGAACGUAACUGGCUUUAAGAAAGGUCAUAGUUCAGGGCUUCUCCAGCUCGUUAGGUCGCUAGUAAGUAAUUGAUCUACGCUUUAUUUGUAUUGCGACAUUUAUUUGCUCUGGCUGGACUCCUUGUCACCGCUCCGUGUUGGGCAGGAGUCUCAGGAACCGUCUUCUCCGGAUCAAACAACUGGUUUCCUGAAGAAUGAGUCAGUGCCCUCGGGUAGCUGUUGUUGUUUAUUUUGUCUUGUUCGUUUCCUGGCGAGACGACUGUCGCAGGACUCUUCCCUGGGAGAAGGCCGAGUCUGUCGGUGCAGAUCGGGAGACUGCGGAAUUCUGCAGCGGAGACUCCAGCCCUCACCUGCUCCCCUGCUCCCCUGGCCUCUGGCCCAGCGCAGCUCAUAGGUCUGGCCACAGCGGGGCUGUUGUGGGCUCCCCAGGAAGGAGGGGUCUGGAAGGGGAGGGGGGGAUCUGAGAGGGCUGCUGGGGGAGAUGGGGUGGGGGUCAGGGGACAUGUGGUACUGCAGAUCCGGAGGUGCCACAGGCCACUGCCACAACUCAUGAGCUUGACCAGCUGGAGGACAAGGGGGAGUAGAGGGAAGGAAGGGGAGGAGGCGAUGGGAGAGUCAGAGUGAGAUAGCGAUAUAGGGAGAUAAAAGAACCAGCCCGCCCACAAAUACGUUAGCAACAUCUCCUCUGUUCUUUUGAAGUCAAAGAAAGUGUCUCGUUUAUUUUCCUUGAAAUCAAGAGCCAGACACGAAGAGCUAAUAGAUCCCUUUAUUCUGCCUGUCCUAAAAAGGUGUUUCUUUAUGCUUUCCCCUGGCCAGGCUGGUCUUGUCACCCGGUACCCUGUUCCACCAAUCUGUGUCAGUGUACAGUGGGGCAAAAUAUUACAUCUACUCCAGCGCAGAUUUUAAAAGCUUCAUGGAGCCGAGUCAAGAUAAAGCAACAUUUCCAAUUCCAGAAUUGAAACCUUUUUAAAAUCGCAUUGCCUUUAACUCAUGGUUGCUUCCUGUUCAGUUUUUUUUUGAAUGGUGCUCAUUUUCCUUGGCCGGUGCAGUAGUCUGUUCGGGAGAGAUGACUGUCCAUGUGCACCCUAGCAUUGACGCCCCGCCCCGGAAGCUCAGUCCCCCGUGUUGAUCCCCGUGUUGAGGUAAAGCACUUCGUCUCCCACCCCCUCUCUCAGCCUCCAAACACCUCCGUCCGCUCAUCACCGAGAAGACCAGCCACACUUUAAUAGCAGCCCUGGGCAUUUCAAUUACAACAGGUUGGCUCUGACAUGUUCUGGUUCACUGUGGUGACAAUUACAGGUUUGCAAGCUUCCAAACUGUGCUUUUCUUUUUCAUAAACACAGCUCGGUAUGCAGCAAUUAUUGUGUAGGUUGGUGCGUGCACAGUUUUUAAAUGGCACUGUGUAAAAUCCCCGAUCGCGUUCGUGCAAUGGCUGUCAAGGCAGCUCUGAGAGCCCCCCCAGAGCCGUGCUGCUCUCCCAGAUGUCCGGGCCUCCUGCUGCCAGAGGCCGGAGGUGAUCUGUAUGACGGUGCAGCGCCAUUUUGCCCGAGAAGUUCUCUUCUUCUCCACUAACUUGUCUUGCUUUCACAAUGGUCUUCUGUGUUUCUUCUAGAGUAGAAGAACGGGAACUUCCACUCUUUGCUUUACCAGACUACAAUAGUACACUGCUUUACUGUAAUACACACUCGCAAGUGUACUAUAAUUCAGCCCUUAGUGUUAACAGAAUCAUUGCAUGAGUGUGCCCGACACACAGGUACUGUAUGUAUAAAUGGCAUGAUGUCUUCCUUCUAUCCUGUGAUUAUAUAGUCCACACCACUGACUUAUUGGCUGCUGUCCCAUUUAAAUAUGGAUGUAUUCUAUGGAGUCCUUUAUUCCACACUUCAUUCAUUGUCCCGCACCCUCUUAACUCCUGUAUUGCACGGUAUAAUCAUCGGAACUUUUGUUGCGGUGUUACGUAUUAGAUCUGUGACUUUAUGAUGUUCUCUUGAAUGUACCGAACAUCAGAUUUUGACAACAGUAACCCACUAAAGUUGCUUUGGUGUAUAUAGUUAUCUGUCAAACAACAAACUCCAAGCUGAACUGAAUUUUUAAUACUUUCCUUGUUUUGCUUUUGGUUGUCGCACUGAAAGAAACACGAGAGUAUAGCUGAGAUGCAGCCGAGUGUUGUGGGUUAUCUUGAAAACGCAGUGAAGUGCCUAAGGCUGUGCAGGAGUGUGGAGUCACUUUGGGCUGAUAACACACGCGGAUCUGGGCUCCCUAUUAUUCUUCAGACUCUCCCUCAACUACUGUUGCUUCCCAGCUGAGACCCCCCUCCCCCCAGCUCCUCACCUCCUGUCCUCCAGCCCCAGUCUGCAGUCCAGCACAAUGCCAUUGUCAUCCAUCGGAUUGUUGCAACCAUUAGCCAUUCAGCCUGCCGUCAUGCCUUUUGUCCCGU
This is a long non-coding RNA of Lepisosteus oculatus (spotted gar), 2497 nucleotides long. The record is from Ensembl. Lineage: Eukaryota; Metazoa; Chordata; Actinopteri; Semionotiformes; Lepisosteidae.